CGUUGCCUCAUCCAUGUAGCUUAGUUCACUUUUUCAAUGAAUAAAGCAGAUAGCGUGCUACUUUUUCCUCAAAAAAUAUAUAUAUUUUUUAAAAGCAUAGAAGCUUAAUUCUCUAGAGUCCAGCUAUGAUACUUAAUUUUAAAAGCUUAAACACUUGGUGCUUAAUUUGUAAAUUUUUUACCGUUACAUCUAUCUCUUUGACCAAUUCCACUUCUUAGAUUAUACUAUUCUACUAACCACACGCUCAAAUUUAGAGGACCACUAUUAUUCUAACAUAAUAAAUUUUCAUCUAAAAGCCGAAAAUAUUUAAAAUUUGGUUUCUAAAUAUUUCAAAUGGUAUUGAUCAUAUUCAAUGAUGCCGAUUGUUGAUUUGGAGGUUUCAUCAUCGAAAGUAAAUGGAUGGGAACGAAAUUCGUUUGCUACUGAUAGUAUUCUAAGGCAACUCUAUAUAUAUAUAUAGAGAGAGAGAGAGAGAGCAGGACUAAUGUGCUCUUAGAAGUAUGAAUGCAUUCGUGCUCCUAGGUUAUUUUCGAUGAUCCACCUAAAAGAUCAAAAUUUCGUU
Molecule: long non-coding RNA, 562 nt
Filed under: Ananas comosus (pineapple)
Lineage: Eukaryota; Viridiplantae; Streptophyta; Magnoliopsida; Poales; Bromeliaceae
Description: long non-coding RNA (ACOM_LNC016955)
Source: RNAcentral